Long non-coding RNA from Danio rerio (zebrafish), 3404 nucleotides. NCBI's taxonomy places the organism in Eukaryota, Metazoa, Chordata, Actinopteri, Cypriniformes, Danionidae. The record is from Ensembl.
CUUCAUAUGACAUAAUCACGCCACCGCUAACCCGACCCCUCACAGUGACGUCACUACCUCCACUGAGUGCAGUCUCAGCUUGCUCAUGCAAGGCUGUAUCCAGAUACUAUUGAAUGUGUUGAGAUCAAUGUAGGUUAUAAACAGCUUGGUCUGGUGUCAUAUUUACCAGAGCUGAAUAUACUUAAUGUGUCAAGUUAUAAGUCCUGUACAACAUCAGAAUUAACCGUAGAACAGUUUCAGCAGACCUGAUCAGACAGACCUUCAGUCAACUAUUAGUUUGUGCUGAAUUAAACUGAACAAACUCAUAUUUGGCUGAUAAACUCUUAAAGGAGACUGAAGUUUACCCAUAGUUAAUUUCUCUGGUGUGUUUGUGUGUUCAGUGUGAGAUCAGGAUCAUGUGUGUCCAGCCCUCUGAAGAGUGACUGGUCUAAAGAGGAUCCACCAGAGUUCAGUGAGGAAACACCAUCACCUGCCCAAAGGAUGAUUGCGGAGAUGCAGUCAAGGGGGUUGGUGAUUAAUAACUUACCUUCAGUCCUCCCAGAAUCAGCUCGAUCUACUACAUCUUCUGUGCCUCAAAGCUCUGGAGGUGCAGAAAGUCCAUUGUAGCCUCCAAAUGAGCCCUUAUCUGACAAGAGCUCUGGAGAGUACUACCAGAGUCGUAGUUCAUCAAAUAAAGAUGAUAAUGAUGAAUGGAUUCCUUGAACGAGGGACAGGCAAACAAGCCCCUCAACUUCAACAUGCACACCUCGGCCCAGCACAACUCCCACCACUUCCCCCACUGCAACCCCCACUACAUCUGGGCAGAGAAGGCGCAGGGGCAGAAGUAGAGCUAGAGGCAGAGCUGGAUCAUCAGCACGGGGGAGUGGAUCUCAGCAGGCUGCUGCUGCUGCUUCUGGUGAGGAAAGUUGGCAUAAUAUAUCAGAGGCAGAUGAGGAACCAGCAGUAAUAGCCUUUGCCCCAAAACGUACACCAGGGCCUCAGCUGGUCACUACGUCAAGCUACUCGCCACUUGAGCUUUCUCCACAUCUGUCGUGGACACAAAAAUAAGAAACACAAAUGAACAUGCUGCACAAAGGUCUAAUGCUGGCAAAAAGUUCCUGUGGAUACCGCUCACCGUCAAAUACUUCAUUUAUAUUGGAAUUCUACUAUACAUGGGACUGAAAAAAAAAUCAAAGACAUUAGUAGACUACUGGGCAAGGUUGGACAUUUACAGAUUUCCCUUUCCACAAUUUGCUCUCACGGGCUGGUUAUCUGUCCAUAUCUUGGAACCUUAAUCUGUCUAACCUAAAGGACGAUGAAGCUAAUCAACAAAAAAGGGAACCCCAGACUACGACAGACUCUGCAAAAUAAAACCGCUGUGUACGGACAUUGUUUCAGCAUGCCAAACCAACUUUCAUCCCCUCAAGCAGAUGGCUGUUGAUGAACGUAUGAUUGCCUCUAAGGCCAGGAUUAGUUUGAAGCAAUAUAUGAAGGACAAGCCGACAAAGUGGGGAUACAAACUAUUUGUCCGUGCUGAUUCAAUUUGUGGAUAUACCUGGAACUUUUUUGCAUAUGAAGGAAAAUCCACCUCUGUAUCUGGAAAAGGCUUCAGCUAUGAGUCGGUCAAACAACUUUAGAUUUCUCAAUUCUAGGACAGGGAUAUCAGGUAUUUACGGACAAUUUUCAUACCAGCCCAGCCCUCCUAAGUAAUUUACUUUUGAAAAACACCCAGGCAUGUGGAACCAUACGCCAAAACAGACAAGGCUUUCCGAAAACUAAAAUCAAUUACCUAGGCAAAAAGGCUAAAAAAGGGGACAUUUGGUGGAUUAGGGAUGGAAAGAUACUGUUUGUGAAAUGGAUGGACACCAGGGAGGUCACCAUGUGUUCAACAGUUCACAAAACGUACAGUGAACCGACGGGUGAAGAAUGAUGAAGGUAACUGGAGAAGGGAACAGAUUCCUGUUCCUACAGUGGUGCUGGAGUACAACAAAUACAUGUGUGGUGUUGACUACUCUGAUGCAAUGAUUGGUUAUUACAAUAUUCUCCAUAAAACCAGAAAAUGGUACAAGACCUUCUUCUUACAUUUUAUUGACAUUGCUGUCGUAAACAUUAUUCACAGGGAGCUUUCAAAUCUCCAAAACAAAACCCCUCUGACACAAAAAAAGUUCAGAAAAAAUCUAAUCAUGGAAAUGAUCAAAGACACCAUAGAGCAGUGGUUCCCAACCUGGGGUCCACAAGAGUUAACAAGGGGGGCGCAGGAGAGGAUAAGUGUUGAGGUAGGAAUAAAAAUGCUCCACUAUUAUAUAGGGCUGUAAAAUUUAUUGAAAAUCCGAUUUCGAUUUCAAACAAUUAUAAUAAAAGCAUUAAUCGAGAUAAAGAUUAUUGCAUCAUAUAUCGCCCCCUUUCCAGUUGUACACGUGUUGCUCUUAAAAGCGCGGAAGAGCGCGUACUUAUGUGUGUGUGCAGCACGCACACUCAGUCAGAAGCAUACGGCCGGUCAGCUUUCGCAAACUAAGACGAGCAGAGGAGCGCAGACAUCUAAAGUCAUCUUAACGCGAGCGCUUUAAUGGUCAAAUAGGUGUCAACGCGGUGUUUAGUUAUUAUUUUUUAUUAACCCUCAUUUGUGUAAUAAACAAACGAGUUGAGGAUCAAAAGACACGUGAAAGAGAAACCAAAGAGACAACGAGAAAUAUUCUUGCUGCCGCCUGUUUUUAUGAUUAUUAAUCAAACAACGAGAAAAAUCCCUCACUUGUCUUGACUAAAGGACUGCUGUAGCUAAAGUGUUAUUCUUACAGUGAAGAUGCUUAAAGCAGUUUGUUUAAUAUUUUUAUUCUGUUGUAUUUAUUUCUCUUUCCUUUGCAGGGUGGAAAAAAACUGUAUAUAUACACUUGAAGUCAGAAUUAUUAACCCUCCUGAAUAUUAGCAACCCUUUUCCUCCCAAUUUCUGUUUCAUGGAGAGAAGUUUUUUUUUAAAACUUAUUAAUAGUUUUAAUAUCUCGUUUUUAAUUACUGAUUUCUUUUAUCUUUGCUAUGAUGACAGUACAUAAUAUUUAACAAGAUAUUUUUCAAAAUACAAGCAUUCAGAUUAAAGUGCAGUUCAAAGGGUUAAUUAGGGUAAUAAGGCAAGUCAUGGUAUAACAGUAGUUUCUUCAGCAGACAAUCAAAAAUAUAUAUUGCUUAAGGGGGCUAAUAAUAUUGACCUUAAAUUGGUUUCAAAAUAUUUAAACCUGCUUUUAUUCUAGCUAAAAUAAAAAAAUAAGCCUAGAAGAAAAAAUAUUAUAGGAAAUACUGUUAAAAUUCCUUGUCCUGUUAAACAUAAUUUGGGAAAUAUUUAUAAAAAAAAUAUUUCCCAGGAGCGCUUAUAAUUUUGACUUUAACGUGAAUAUGAUUUUUCCCAAAAUUAAGCAGCCCUACUAUUAUAUAUG